AAUCAACGCUGGCGGCGUGCCUAACACUUGCAAGUCGAACGCGAAAGAGGAGCAAUCCUUAAGUAGCGGGGCAAACGGGUGAGUAACACGGGGGUGACCUGCCUUCGAGGGGGGGAUAACCUUCCAAAAGGAGGGCUAAUACCGCAUGAAAUACCGGGUUUAGAUACAUGGAUAUCAAAGCCGGGGAUCGCAAGACCUGGCGCUUGAAGAGGGGCCCGCGUCCAAUUAGCUAGUUGGUGAGGUAACGGCUCACCAAGGCUCCAAUCGGUAUCCGGCCUGAGAGGGCGGACGGACACACUGGAACUGAGACACGGUCCAAACUCCUACGGGAGGCAGCAGUGGGGAAUUGUUCGCAAUGGGCGAAAGCCUGACAACGCACCGCCGCGUGGAGGAUGAAAAAUUUCGGUUCGUAAACUCCUUUCGACCGAGAUGAAUACCCAUGGACUUAAUACGUCUGUGGGCUGACAGUAUCGAGAGAAAAAGCCCCGGCUAACUCUGUG
Molecule: ribosomal RNA, 500 nt
Filed under: uncultured bacterium
Lineage: Bacteria
Description: bacterial SSU rRNA
Rfam family: Bacterial small subunit ribosomal RNA
Source: RNAcentral